AAAAAAAGAGUUGCAAGACUCGAAAACCAUCGUGAACAUACCUCUCGUCGUUGCUUCGGCGGGCUGCUCGUCAGGGCGCCCGCCGGAGGACCACCAAACUCUGUUUUCUUAGCGUAUCUCUGAGUGGACCACGAAAAACGAAUCA
This 145-nucleotide unclassified non-coding RNA is filed under the name uncultured Sordariomycetes. RNAcentral describes it as "sequence contains ITS1". The record is from RNAcentral. Lineage: Eukaryota; Fungi; Ascomycota; Sordariomycetes.